AUAAAGAUGGCAGAUAAAGUGCACUAGGUUUAAGCCUUAGAAAUAAAGAUUAAAUUUCUUUUCUUUAUA
This 69-nucleotide transfer RNA is filed under the name Benthomangelia sp. JEU-2016. RNAcentral describes it as "tRNA-Leu". It matches the Rfam family "tRNA". From Rfam's summary of the family: Transfer RNA (tRNA) molecules are approximately 80 nucleotides in length. Their secondary structure includes four short double-helical elements and three loops (D, anti-codon, and T loops). Lineage: Eukaryota; Metazoa; Mollusca; Gastropoda; Neogastropoda; Conidae. The record is from RNAcentral. RNAcentral also lists the same sequence under 1 other name.